RNAcentral lists this ribosomal RNA (2387 nucleotides) under Staphylococcus pseudintermedius. RNAcentral's name for it is "partial 23S ribosomal RNA". It matches the Rfam family "Bacterial large subunit ribosomal RNA", at positions 407 to 2799 of the family's 2925-position model. Lineage: Bacteria; Bacillati; Bacillota; Bacilli; Caryophanales; Staphylococcaceae. The record is from RNAcentral.
CCUGAGUACGACGGAGCACGUGAAAUUCCGUCGGAAUCUGGGAGGACCAUCUCCUAAGGCUAAAUACUCUCUAGUGACCGAUAGUGAACCAGUACCGUGAGGGAAAGGUGAAAAGUACCCCGGAAGGGGAGUGAAAGAGAACUUGAAACCGUGUGCUUACAAGUAGUCAGAGCCCGUUAAUGGGUGAUGGCGUGCCUUUUGUAGAAUGAACCGGCGAGUUACGAUCUGAUGCAAGGUUAAGCAGAAAAUGUGGAGCCGUAGCGAAAGCGAGUCUGAAUAGGGCGAAUGAGUAUUUGGUCGUAGACCCGAAACCAGGUGAUCUACCCUUGGUCAGGUUGAAGUUCAGGUAACACUGAAUGGAGGACCGAACCGACUUACGUUGAAAAGUGAGCGGAUGAACUGAGGGUAGCGGAGAAAUUCCAAUCGAACUUGGAGAUAGCUGGUUCUCUCCGAAAUAGCUUUAGGGCUAGCCUCAAGUGAUGAUUAUUGGAGGUAGAGCACUGUUUGGACGAGGGGCCCCUCUCGGGUUACCGAAUUCAGACAAACUCCGAAUGCCAAAUAAUUUAACUUGGGAGUCAGAAUGUGGGUGAUAAGGUCCAUAUUCGAAAGGGAAACAGCCCAGACCACCAGCUAAGGUCCCAAAAUAUAUGUUAAGUGGAAAAGGAUGUGGCGUUGCCCAGACAACUAGGAUGUUGGCUUAGAAGCAGCCAUCAUUUAAAGAGUGCGUAAUAGCUCACUAGUCGAGUGACACUGCGCCGAAAAUGUACCGGGGCUAAACAUAUUACCGAAGCUGUGGAUUGUCCAUUGGACAAUGGUAGGAGAGCGUUCUAAGGGCGUUGAAGCAUGAUCGCAAGGACAUGUGGAGCGCUUAGAAGUGAGAAUGCCGGUGUGAGUAGCGAAAGACGGGUGAGAAUCCCGUCCACCGAUUGACUAAGGUUUCCAGAGGAAGGCUCGUCCGCUCUGGGUUAGUCGGGUCCUAAGCUGAGGCCGACAGGCGUAGGCGAUGGAUAACAGGUUGAUAUUCCUGUACCACCAUUAUUCGUUUUAAGCGAUGGGGGGACGCAGUAGGAUAGGCGAAGCGUGCUGUUGGAGUGCACGUCCAAGCAGUGAGAUUGAGUGUUAGGCAAAUCCGGCACUCUUAAGAUUGAGCUGUGAUGGGGAGAGGAACUUGUUCCUCGAGUCGUUGAUUUCACACUGCCGAGAAAAGCCUCUAGCUAGAAUAACGGUGCCCGUACCGCAAACCGACACAGGUAGUCAAGAUGAGAAUUCUAAGGUGAGCGAGCGAACUCUCGUUAAGGAACUCGGCAAAAUGACCCCGUAACUUCGGGAGAAGGGGUGCUCUUUGAGGUUCACGCUUCGAAGAGCCGCAGUGAAUAGGCCCAAGCGACUGUUUAUCAAAAACACAGGUCUCUGCUAAACCGUAAGGUGACGUAUAGGGGCUGACGCCUGCCCGGUGCUGGAAGGUUAAGAGGAGUGGUUAGCGCAAGCGAAGCUACGAAUCGAAGCCCCAGUAAACGGCGGCCGUAACUAUAACGGUCCUAAGGUAGCGAAAUUCCUUGUCGGGUAAGUUCCGACCCGCACGAAAGGCGUAACGAUUUGGGCACUGUCUCAACGAGAGACUCGGUGAAAUCAUAGUACCGGUGAAGAUGCCGGUUACCCGCGACAGGACGGAAAGACCCCGUGGAGCUUUACUGUAGCCUGAUAUUGAAAUUCGGUACAGUUUGUACAGGAUAGGUAGGAGCCUUAGAAGCGUGAGCGCUAGCUUACGUGGAGGCAUUGGUGGGAUACUACCCUAAUUGUAUUGGAUUUCUAACCCGCAGCACUUAUCGUGCUGGGAGACAGUGUCAGGCGGGCAGUUUGACUGGGGCGGUCGCCUCCUAAAGAGUAACGGAGGCGCUCAAAGGUUCCCUCAGAAUGGUUGGAAAUCAUUCAUAGAGUGUAAAGGCAUAAGGGAGCUUGACUGCGAGACCUACAAGUCGAGCAGGGUCGAAAGACGGACUUAGUGAUCCGGUGGUUCCGCAUGGAAGGGCCAUCGCUCAACGGAUAAAAGCUACCCCGGGGAUAACAGGCUUAUCUCCCCCAAGAGUUCACAUCGACGGGGAGGUUUGGCACCUCGAUGUCGGCUCAUCGCAUCCUGGGGCUGUAGUCGGUCCCAAGGGUUGGGCUGUUCGCCCAUUAAAGCGGUACGCGAGCUGGGUUCAGAACGUCGUGAGACAGUUCGGUCCCUAUCCGUCGUGGGCGUAGGAAAUUUGAGAGGAGCUGUCCUUAGUACGAGAGGACCGGGAUGGACAUACCUCUGGUGUACCAGUUGUCGUGCCAACGGCAUAGCUGGGUAGCUAUGUAUGGACGGGAUAAGUGCUGAAAGCAUCUAAGCAUGAAGCCCCCCU